This is a non-coding RNA of Capsicum annuum, 107 nucleotides long. The record is from Rfam. Lineage: Eukaryota; Viridiplantae; Streptophyta; Magnoliopsida; Solanales; Solanaceae.
UGAUGGCGAUGAGGAUAAUUUUUGAGCAUGCCUUUAAAUCUCUCCCAAGCUUGGUAGAGAUUUUCUCCAUCUUUCUAUCUAAAACUCAUGAUCUUACUCCUUAAUCG